This 8438-nucleotide long non-coding RNA is filed under the name Triticum aestivum (bread wheat). RNAcentral describes it as "long non-coding RNA (TAES_LNC005477)". Lineage: Eukaryota; Viridiplantae; Streptophyta; Magnoliopsida; Poales; Poaceae. The record is from RNAcentral.
CCUAAUGCUGUUGUUGUGCCGAUGGGCUGCUUGUGUUGUUUCCUUGCCACUGUUGCUGCUUAGUUGUCGCUGCUGCGCUAUGUGUUGCUGCUGCCCCAUGGUGUCGUUGCUCUGCUGCUGCCGCUGCCUUGCUCGCAAGCUGCUGCCGCUAGGAGCUGCUCCUAUGUGUGCUGUUGCCGCUAGAUGUGUGCGUAGGUGUGUGUAUGAGUCGGCCCUUCCUUAGCCUAGCUUAGGAUUAAAUUAGUGCUAAGUUAGUUUAGUAUUUGAUGACAUGUAGGCCCCCAUUAAAAAGUUAGAUUUAUUUAUUUGUUUAGGUAUAGCCUAUGACAUGUGGGCCACCCCUUCUCUAUUUGACUAGUCAUUUUGACUUGGACAAACUCGUAUUAAACAAUUUCAAAAAAUUAGAAAAUGUUUAUAUCUUUAUAAAUAAAUAUAAAACAAUUUGUAACUCGGAUGAAAAUACUUUGUACAUGAAAGUUGCCCAGAACGACGAGACGAAUCCGAAUACGCAGUCCGUUCGUUCGCCACACGUCCCUAGCAUACCGAACAUGCAACUAUCCCCCUCCGGUUCGUCUGUCCAAAUAUGCCAAACACCGGGAAUAUUUUCCUGGAUGUUUCCCCCUUCGCCAGUAGCACCUAAUACCGUGUUAGGUCACCCCUAGCACGGCGUAUUGCCUUGUUAUGUGAUGCGGCUUGAAGCUACGUUGAUAUUUUCCCGAAGAGGAAGGGAUGAUGCAGCACAUCGGCGGUAGGUAUUUCCCUCAGUGAUGAGACCAAGAUUAUCGAACCAGUAGGAGAACCAAGCAACACAACGUAAACAACCCCUGCACACAAAUAGCAAAUACUCGCAACCCGGCGUGUAAAAGGUUUGUCAAUCCCUUUCGGGUAGCGGCGCCUCAACAUAGGCAAACAGACGUGAAAUAAAUUGUAGUAGAUUGAUAGAUCGAACGUCAAAUAAAAUAAAUAAGAAUAAAAGGCAGCAAGGUAAUUUUUUAUUUUUGGUUUAAUAUAAAUGAAAAUAAAAGCAAAGGAAAAGUAGAUCGUAAAGGCAAAUAAUAUGAGAAAGUGACCCGGGGGUCGUAGGUUUCAGUAGUGGCUUCUCUCGAGAAAAAUAGAAAAAGGUGGGUAAACAAAUUACUUUCGAGCAAUUGAUAGAACUUUAAAUAAUCAUGACAAUAUCCAGGCAAUGAUCAUUACAUAGGCAUCACGUCCAAGAUUACGGGCUUGAACUGACGAUGCACUACAAUGGUGUCAAAUAGUUAACGGGCCGUUGACGGGCCGAAUUGGCACAUCUCGUAUGGGUCAUGGGCUUGAAUAGAACAGACACCAGUCGGCCCUAUAUAGGCCGGCCUGCUAAUUUUGACUGGGCCAGCCUCUUUCAUCUAAAUGGGCCACUGUUGGGCCUUGCCAUGUGCCAACGUAUCAUAGGCACCUCGUGUACAAGGAGUGGAUGACAUCUGUCCUAACGCUGAGCCGACACGUGGAUCCUCUGACUAAUGAGAAUUUUAAACGUGGAAAAUCCCCAUUGGUCGGGGCUGUUAACGGGUGAUCGGAUCCAAACCGGAACCCGAUAGCUUAACGGUCACCCGUUAUGGUGGAUGCCAUGUGUCGGUUACCCUUGAUGAAAACACUUCCAUGACGCGCCAUUUAUCAUCAUGGAAGUGGACACUUCCGUGAUGAUAAUUUUGGUAUUGUCAUGGAACACCUCUAUGACAACACAGGUAUGACUAUCUUGAUUCUGUCAUUAAAUCGCCAUGGAUGUACAUGCAUGACAGAAAACAUGACCUAUUGUGACAAACACAUAUCAUCAUGGAAGUGUAUUUUUUGUAGUGGGGGUAGGUUUGUAUCUUCAUCUAGACACCACGCAAGUGCCUCCAAAAAACAUUCAUACACCGUGGCCGCCUAAACACACAUGCGCUCGGCCGAAAUCGCCCCUGCCCACUAUUUGGGACACCUGGGAUUAUCGUCCUACCCCCGACCUGCGGUAGGUCCAAAAUUUAAGAGGGGGGAAAGUUUGUACUUUCCCCAAAUUUCAAACAAGUGUGUCCCAUCUGUUCAAAAAAAAACAAGCGCGUCCUAUACCGAAACAUGGUUCCCCCUUAGCUCCCCCCCCGUCCGAUUCCCCAUUCGUACUCUGUGGGCGCCAAAACUACCUCUCCACCAGCCGUGAAACCCCAACAUCCUCCGUCCGUCACCCCAUCCCACCCAUCAACCGCCGCCCUCCACCAUCACACCGGAACCGAUACACUGACAUCGUCGUCCACCGCAACCGCAACUGCAACGCCCUCCACGGCUAGUAGUUGAAGCCGAGGCCGAGCUGCCUCCAGGACACCGACGUGUGCUGUACCUGAGCUAAUUCAACCACGCCGUCUUGCGCCUCACCGUUGCCGCUCCAACGUCGCCACCGCCCAACACAUCGGAGCUAUUCCCACUAUAUCGUCCUUCGCCGCCUCGGGUCUGCUUCCCCUCCGCCCACAAACAGCCACCGCAACACAGUCACUAAUUUGGCCAUGGGUUCGUCCAAGGCUCCACCCUCCUCCAAAACAUCGGUUCCCCCUGUAAAAGUAGUGAGCUUGAUGAAACAACCAUCCAGACCUACAACAAAUAAAUGAAAUCACAAUUGAUUAGCACAUGAAAUCAAACAUUAGUAGCACUUAGCACAAAUAUUAUUGACUUACCUAUGAAUGGUCUGCAGCCAUUGAGAAACCCUUCUUUGCAUCCAUUCAAACAUAUGAACAGUGCAUGAAACCUAGGGUUAGUGCUUGGAUGCUCCUUCAGAUAUCUUGUUGUCACAAUGCAUCUUGAACCUAGAUUUGUAUCCAACACAGCCUGUAAAUAAUCCCUAAUCCUGGUGUACUGGGCUUUCUGGUCUCCUAACACAACAGCCUUUGCUGCCCUCUUUGCCCUGUAUGCCAUGUGUGUUGAUAUGUCCACACCAUACUUGCUCUUUGCAGUAUUAAUAAUACUUGUGAUAGUUGUGCAUGGGUCAUUUCUGAUAGCCUCCUCACAUAAUUUUGAAACCCACUUAGCAGAGACUUAAGUGUUCUCUGACAUAGAAGGGCAUGUGUGCACUAAAUACACCUUCCUAAUUGUAAAUGACAUCUCAUUUGCAAUCUGAGAAGCUGCUAUAUAGAAGGGACAUUGCUCAUCUAUGCAUUGUGCUAUCACCCUAUCACUGCAGUUUCUAUGGUAGACAAAGUUCCUGUUUUGAGCAAUGUGCAAGGUUUGAAGUGCAGUUCUAAACUGAUACACAUUUAAGAAGCAAAGAUGCUUCACAAAUUGCUCCUCUGGAUGAGCUCUGUGCUCAUCAAACCAUAACCUCUUCUUCAUCUUCUUUGCUCUGCUUUUUCUACCAUUGGGCAACACAUAUGACAAUGCCUCAGCACCAUCAUCAUCUUCCACACCAAGGUCUUGUGGUUUCUUGUCCUCAUCAGAUGAUGGAAUCCAGUCCUCCUCAAACAUGUGUUCUAUACUCCCAUGUGAAUUGCUUGUUGGGCCUUUUCUUUGUCCCUUGGCCCUUCUCUUGUUUGGUACAUCUUGCCCUAGCACAUCCUCUUGUUCCUCUUCCUCCAAUUCCUCCUCCUCUUCCUCCUCUACAUCCUCUUCUUCACCUUGUGGCACAUACAGCUCAUCAUCCACCUCUGAGUCACACAUUUCCUCAACAUCUGUGUCCCCUUCAAAAUGAAGUUCUGGGUCAUUCCUCUGUCUUCUCAUCUCCUCAAGCCUAGCUAAGAUAUCACCAUAUUCUACUAGAUCAUCAUCAUCACUAUCCUCUUCAAUGUCCAUCACUGCUGCUUUCCUGUUCAAACAAGUCUCCUGCACUAUUUCCUUGUUGUUCAAACAAGUGUCCUUCACACUUUCCUUCUUGUUCUUCCGAAACAUUUCAAUUUCAUUUCUCCUUUUCUCCUCCAUUUCUUGCUCUAUUAACAGUUUCUUCUCUGAACUAUCAGUCACAUGGUAUUCUUCCACUACUGCAGCACCUAAAGCAGGUUUGAGGCUCACAUUUAUUCUGCUCUGCUGUGUGUCAAACUGCAAGGGCAUUGCCUCUUGUUCUCCUCCUACAUCACAACUCUCAGCUUCUAUAUGCACAUUUUCAGCAUUGAACAACACUCCUUCAUCAUCAAUCUGAUACAGUUUGGGCUCUCCAAUUUGUUCUAUUGGGGUCUGCAUCUCAAUGACAUUAACACUAGUAUUUGUAUUGGGAACUUUCUCUGCACUGGCCCUAACUAUUGUCACAUUCAAUAUCUUGUUAUUCUUCUCUGCUAUGUGGUCUAAAAUUUCCUCUAACUUAUCAUCAUCAUCUAUUUCUUCCAUUCCUUCAAUCCCUAGCCCAGGUCCCUCACAUAAUACAUAUAAUCUCUAAAACCAUACCCUUCUGUCUCCAUCAGUGCUACCAAAUUGUAAUAUGUGAUGUCUGACAUCAUCAUACUCCUUUCAAUAUUAUCUCUAUCAUGAAAAUGCAUCCUCAAUUCCCAAACCUCAUCUUCAAGACUGCAAAUAAUAAUACAAUAGUGCACUAUAAGUACUUAAGGGAAACUGAAGCAAGCUAGUGCAGACCAGAGCAGAACAUCAUUUGAGUGCAACAAUUCAUAUCCUUUUAUUUACAAAAACCCUAGUUGUAAGCAUCUAAUUAAAGAACUAUAUCAUUCUAAUUACAGAACUAUAACACACACAAACCCUAGAACUACAUUAACCCUAACCCUAGCAACAGAAGGGGAAUGUGAUUGGGGAGGGGAAUGGGACUGGGAUCUCACUAGACGCUGCCGAAAGCUGAAGCAAUGUGCUGGCUUCCAAUUGGAUUUGCCUUCACCGCCGCGGCGAAAGAUCUGGCUGCCCUGAAUUCCACCGAGUACUGCGGGUCCUCCUCCUCCUCUUCUUCUACCAUCGCCUUCGUAGUGUUCAAGCUCCCGCACAUCUUGCCAGUGGACGGCUGGGUGCCGCUGCCAGCAUCGCUCGACUUCGCCGGACUCAUGGCUGCGACGGGGGGCGGGGAUGGUGUGCCGCUCGAUCGGGAACAGGGGAGAAGAAGGGAGAAACGGGGGAAGAAGACGGGGGAAACGAGGGAUAAGAGUAAACAGAACGAACGGCGCCGUCUAACGGCUGUCGGACCAGCUGACAGCGCCAUGUCGGCAAAAACUGGGCCCCACCUGUCAUAAAUCCACUUAUCAGUGUCCGAUCCGCCAAUCAGUGGUAUUGGCAAAUUGUUUACGGGAGAGUUGGUGUUUUUUUGCCAAGAAACUGUAACAUAAUGAUUUCUGCUAACCUAGCCCUCAAACUGGUGGUUUUCUGCAAUUUACUCUUUAAUGAAUAACUCUUGUUUUGGAACUCGCUUCCAUGGUUCACUACCCGAGAAUCUUACAAUGUCUUCUCGUCAAAUUGUGUUGCACGACACCAAUCAGAUCUGAACCUUGGUUAGAUAUGAUGGUUGGAACAUAUUUACAAGAGUUAUAACAUUGGUCUUUAUAUGACCCGAUAAGGUGAUAUCAUGCCUAGCACACUUGGCCGGAGGACCUAUUGUUAUAGUUUCCUUCUUAGCAAGGAUAUCCAUUCUUCCAUGAGGAAAUUGCGAGACUUAUUCUAUAAGUUGUUCCUGAUGGAUCCUUUGUGUAUCCAAAGUUUGAUCUUUACCUAGUGACCAUGUCAAUGCUAUCUCGAAGCAUGUCUGUGGUACUCCGUUCAUCAACAAGACAAUUGAAGCGCAAUGCUAAAUUUUUUCUUGAUCAAUUAUACAAACACUAUUGUUCGGGUAAUGUCAUGAAAUUCCUCUCCCCUUACCUAAAUGGUUUUGUACUUCUAUCCUGUCAUGGAUAUCAUGGUAUGUUUGUCGUUGGGAAGGAUAUACCACUGAAAUAUGUGUUUAAACACAUUUUCCUUUCCAUUGUUCUGUUUAAUUUGAUAAUCAUAUUAUCAUUUCCAUUGUUUGGUUUAACCUUUCUUGAGGUCUAUAUGAUAUAAGUAGUAAUAUUCUCCUGUUUAUAAACACCUGGUGUACAAUUCUGUCAGCAAGACCUUGUUCCUAUUGUUGAUGAUAUUCUGGUAGCCACCAAUGGCCGAGAACUUUGCCUAAUGGUCCGCCUCGUUCAACGAGCAGGAAAAUAGUUCUCCCCAUCCCUCGUCCUUGCUACCGACAUUGUUGCUGACAUAAAUGAUAGACUAUCCUCUGACAUGCCUUGUUGUCAUGACCGUGCAAUAUGGCAGCGCCCUUUCUACUUUUAACCCACAUGGUGGGCCCAUAACUCACAGUUCCAUAGGAUCGAAACCAUACUCUCUUGUACACCCCUGUUUCCAAAGUUAUUCCUCAUUCUUAGCUUUGUAUGUAAUUCGUGAGCUAAAUUCCUUACCAUGUUUCAUUCUGGAAUCAGAUGCAACAUGAUUCCUCAUUGAUCUGAACCCCUUGAUCAUCUGUUUUAAGCAUCAGCUGGAGGCCUACCUGAUUGAAACUCAUUGAACCUCCUUGUAUCACUCUCGAUAUGUUUCCUGGUGCUUCUAAAAUUUCCUUACCUGAGAUUAUUACCGGAUGUCAAUCCUUCCAGACAUCUGUCCUUAUAGUUUCCCCCUUCUACCUAUUCGUAAGUAUGAUGGGGUUGCCGAAGAAAGGAUGACGACUUCAUCAUGAUGACCUAAAAUAGAGAAAUGAAGACAUCAACGUAAUGGAUCAACCCCUUCGAUGAGUGCAAUAAGAACAAGAAGAUUCGUUAGAAUUUUGUAACCAAAUCUUUUCCGCUUACUCUACCUCUUAAAUCUCGGGACGAGAUUUCUUGUAGUGGAGGAGAUUUGUGACACCCUAGAUAAUUAGCUAUAGUGAACCCAUGCUAAUGGUGCCAUGUCAUCAUAAUUAUUUUUUUGCUAAACUUCACUUUGAUCCCAACCUAGUUCAAAUUCAAAUUUGAAACAAAGUCAAAAUAAUAUUUCUCUAAACAGUGAAGCAAAAUGUGUACAUUAUGUUAUAAAAUCCCCAAGUAAUUUUCUUGAAGGAACCAAUGUCUUUUAAAUUCUGAAAAUGCCCUUAGCUUUAUUGAAAGCGGGCCAACAACAAUUAAAUUGGUUCUUUUAAAAUAAACAAAUGUUUAUACUUUUCCAAAUGGCUUGAGACUUUUUGCGCAUGUUCAUGAUGAUGCAUACUAUUUAUGUACCAAUAUUUAUAAAUAACAAAAUUUAGUUAGUAGUUAUUGAAAAUAGAAAAGAGAGGAGAAAAAUGAAACAGAAAAUAGAAAAAAGGAAAAGGGAAUGAAACUACUGUGCAACUGGGCCUUUAGUGGCCUCGGUGCACUGUGGCCCAGCCCAACUAGGGCAUCCCUAACAUCUCGCUAUAGUGGGAGGCAGGGCAACCGUGGCGGCCAUCCCACGGCGCUGCCGGACGUGCCGGCUAUCUACCACUUCUCGACGACCUACAAGUCCUCCCCGACCCCCCCUUGACGAACCCUAGCCUAAAAAUCCCCUCCCCCUCGCUCGUUUUCCUCUCCCCGCACAUAGCCGAGCGCAGCGUCAUCAUCGCGGCGUCAAUCCCACGGCCACGUGCCUCCCCGUGCCAAACCACCAAGUCCAGGAGGCUGUCCGCAGUCGUCUCCUUCGUCUACUCCGAAGUGCCCGAGCCUGAACGCCCCAAGCGCUCACCAUCGGGCCUCUUCCCCGCAUCCAGCCGCCGCUGCCCCGCCCCAGAUCUCCUCCCUCAGUGCUCCCCCAACCUCCCGAGCACCUCAUCGAGAAAUUCAGUGAGGCCGUCGUCCAAUUCCCCUUCUUCCCCCUGAGAAUUUGUGCCGUAGCUGCUGCCCUUGAGUUCGCCCGGAGCUCCGCGUUCCCGCUCGCCUCUGGCCGCGCUCACCGUGCCCAGCCCGCGACCUGGGCUCCCCCCUGCCGUGCCCGCGCGCCCAAGACAUCCCCUGGCCGCGUCCGCCUGGGCGUGCUGUGCCGGCUGCGCGCGCCCAUCACGCCACUCGCUCGGCUGCCCAUACUGCUGCUUUUGCAGCCGUGCCUAAUGUUGUUGUUGUGCCGAUGGGCUGCUUGUGUUGUUUCCUUGCCACUGUUGCUGCUUAGUUGUCGCUGCUGCGCUAUGUAUUGGUGCUGCCCCAUGGCGUCGUUGCUCUGCUGCUGCCGCUUCCUUGCUCGCAAGCUGCUGCCGCUAGGAGCUGCUGCUAUGUGUGCUGUUGCUGCUAGAUGUGUGCGUAGGUGUGUGUAUGAGUCGGCCCUUGUUUAGCCUAGCUUAGGAUUAAAUUAGUGCUAAGUUAGUUUAGUAGUUGAUGACAUGUAGGCCCCCAUUAAAAAGUUAGAUUUAUUUAUUUGUUUAGUUAUAGCCUGUGACAUGUGGGCCACCCCUUCUCUAUUUGACUAGUCAUUUUGACUUGGUCAAACUCGUAUUAAACAAUUUCAGAAAUUUAGAAAAUGUUUAUAUCUUUAUAAAUUAAUAUAAAACAAUCCGUAACUCGGAUGAAAAUACUUUG